RNAcentral lists this long non-coding RNA (261 nucleotides) under Lathyrus oleraceus (garden pea). RNAcentral's name for it is "Pisum sativum (pea) long non-coding RNA (PSAT_LNC015822)". Lineage: Eukaryota; Viridiplantae; Streptophyta; Magnoliopsida; Fabales; Fabaceae. The record is from RNAcentral.
UUUUAGGACAAUAACGACAGUCCAUCUCAUCAAUUGAGAGUUGUUUGGGCAAACAACCCCAAACACGUAAUUUAGUCUUUCUUUUUGGCUUUACCUUAUAGUGGCAGCCUGCUAGUCCACGUAUUGGUAAAUGCCACUUUUCUCUCAGGUUGAGAGUUUAUCCUUCUCUUGGAUACAAGAUACUAUUCUCGUUUGAUCUCGAAUUGUUGAUUCCCCAGCAAGUAAUACACUACUCCUUGCACUUCAGUACUACAAUCCUUC